AUACUUACCUGGCAGGAGAGAUACCAUGAUCACGAAGGUGGUUUUCCCAGGGCGAGGCUUAUACAUUGCACUCCGGAUGUGCUGACCCCUGCGAUUUCCCCAAAUGUGGGAAACUCGACUGCAUAAUUUGUGGAAAAAAAAUAAAAAUUA
This 150-nucleotide small nuclear RNA is filed under the name Rhinopithecus bieti (black snub-nosed monkey). Its description in RNAcentral is "U1 spliceosomal RNA (ENSRBIG00000008766.1)". It matches the Rfam family "U1 spliceosomal RNA". From Rfam's summary of the family: U1 is a small nuclear RNA (snRNA) component of the spliceosome (involved in pre-mRNA splicing). Lineage: Eukaryota; Metazoa; Chordata; Mammalia; Primates; Cercopithecidae. The record is from Rfam by way of RNAcentral.